This 253-nucleotide ribosomal RNA is filed under the name uncultured bacterium. RNAcentral describes it as "partial 16S ribosomal RNA". It matches the Rfam family "Bacterial small subunit ribosomal RNA", at positions 524 to 776 of the family's 1533-position model. The record is from RNAcentral.
UACGUAGGGUGCAAGCGUUGUCCGGAAUUAUUGGGCGUAAAGAGCUCGUAGGCGGUUUGUCGCGUCGAAUGUGAAAACCCGGGGCUCAACCCCGGGCCUGCAUUCGAUACGGGCAGACUAGAGUUCGGUAGGGGAGUCUGGAAUUCCUGGUGUAGCGGUGAAAUGCGUAGAUAUCAGGAGGAACACCAGAGGCGAAGGCGGCGAACUGGACAGUAACUGACACUCAACUGCGAAAGCGUGGGGAGCAAACAGG